AGAGUUUGAUCCUGGCUCAGAACGAACGCUGGCGGCAGGCCUAACACAUGCAAGUCGAGCGAAGUCUUCGGACUUAGCGGCGGACGGGUGAGUAACGCGUGGGAACAUACCCAAAGGUACGGAAUAGCCUCGGGAAACUGGGAGUAAUACCGUAUGUGCCCUUCGGGGGAAAGAUUUAUCGCCUUUGGAUUGGCCCGCGUUGGAUUAGGUAGUUGGUGGGGUAAUGGCCUACCAAGCCGACGAUCCAUAGCUGGUUUGAGAGGAUGAUCAGCCACACUGGGACUGAGACACGGCCCAGACUCCUACGGGAGGCAGCAGUGGGGAAUCUUAGACAAUGGGCGCAAGCCUGAUCUAGCCAUGCCGCGUGAUCGAUGAAGGCCUUAGGGUUGUAAAGAUCUUUCAGAUGGGAAGAUAAUGACGGUACCAUCAGAAGAAGCCCCGGCUAACUCCGUG
This 453-nucleotide ribosomal RNA is filed under the name uncultured Rhodobacter sp. RNAcentral's name for it is "bacterial SSU rRNA". It matches the Rfam family "Bacterial small subunit ribosomal RNA", at positions 8 to 507 of the family's 1533-position model. The record is from RNAcentral. Lineage: Bacteria; Pseudomonadati; Pseudomonadota; Alphaproteobacteria; Rhodobacterales.